This 400-nucleotide ribosomal RNA is filed under the name uncultured bacterium. RNAcentral's name for it is "bacterial SSU rRNA". It matches the Rfam family "Bacterial small subunit ribosomal RNA", at positions 363 to 758 of the family's 1533-position model. The record is from RNAcentral.
CUCCAACGAGCGCAACCCUGAUCCAGCCAUGCCGCGUGUGUGAAGAAGGCCUUCGGGUUGUAAAGCACUUUCAGCGAGGAAGAACGCCAGGGAAUUAAUACCUCCCUGGAAAGACAUCACUCGCAGAAGAAGCACCGGCUAACUCCGUGCCAGCAGCCGCGGUAAUACGGAGGGUGCAAGCGUUAAUCGGAAUUACUGGGCGUAAAGCGCGCGUAGGUGGCUUGAUAAGCCGGUUGUGAAAGCCCCGGGCUCAACCUGGGAACGGCAUCCGGAACUGUCAAGCUAGAGUGCAGGAGAGGAAGGUAGAAUUCCCGGUGUAGCGGUGAAAUGCGUAGAGAUCGGGAGGAAUACCAGUGGCGAAGGCGGCCUUCUGGACUGACACUGACACUGAGGUGCGAAA